This 217-nucleotide ribosomal RNA is filed under the name uncultured bacterium. RNAcentral describes it as "partial 16S ribosomal RNA". It matches the Rfam family "Bacterial small subunit ribosomal RNA", at positions 1286 to 1500 of the family's 1533-position model. The record is from RNAcentral.
UCUCAGUUCGGAUCGGAGUCUGCAACCCGACUCCGUGAAGCUGGAUUCGCUAGUAAUCGCGCAUCAGCCAUGGCGCGGUGAAUACGUUCCCGGGUCUUGUACACACCGCCCGUCACACCAUGGGAGUCGGAAAUGCCCGAAGCCGGUGACUCAACCUUUAAGGAGAGAGCCGUCGAAGGCAGGUCUGAUAACUGGGGUGAAGUCGUAACAAGGUAAC